RNAcentral lists this ribosomal RNA (887 nucleotides) under Lucilia eximia. RNAcentral describes it as "LSU rRNA". It matches the Rfam family "Eukaryotic large subunit ribosomal RNA", at positions 112 to 823 of the family's 3401-position model. Lineage: Eukaryota; Metazoa; Arthropoda; Insecta; Diptera; Calliphoridae. The record is from RNAcentral.
CACUAAGUCACUUUGUCUUUAUGGCAAAUGUGAGAUGCAGUGUAUGGAAUGUCAAAUUUCUAGUAUGAGAAAUUAACGAUUUAAGUCCUUCUUAAAUGAGGCCAUUUACCCAAAGAGGGUGCCAGGCCCGUAUAACGUUAAUGAUUACUAGAUGGCAUUUCCAAAGAGUCGUGUUGCUUGAUAGUGCAGCACUAAGUGGGUGGUAAACUCCAUCUAAAACUAAAUAUAACCAUGAGACCGAUAGUAAACAAGUACCGUGAGGGAAAGUUGAAAAGAACUCUGAAUAGAGAGUUAAAUAGUACGUGAAACUGCUUAGAGGUUAAGCCCGAUGAACCUGAAUAUCCAUUAUGGAAAAUUCAUCAUUAUGAUUUUAAUAUUUAUAAUAUUAUAAUAAUGGUGUGCAUUUUUUCUAUAAAGGACAUUGUAAUCUAUUAACAUACAUUAAUUUAUCAUAAGAUCAUUUGCGUAUGUUUAUUCAAAUUAUUUUGCUUGCAAUUUAAUAUCGAAUAAAUGCUUUUGAUUUGAUAAAGUGUUGAUAGAUUUAUUAUAUACAGUGCUUAAAUAUUUAUAUUUUAUAAUAGCAUAUUAAUCAAUGAUUUUUAUGUUCAUUAUAUGCACUUGUAUGAUUAACAAUGCGAAAGAUUCAGGAUACCUUCGGGACCCGUCUUGAAACACGGACCAAGGAGUCUAACAUAUUUGCAAGUUAUUGGGAAUAAAAACCUAAUAGCGAAAUUAACAUAACUUAUUUAAUGGGAUUAGUUUUUAGCCUAUUUAUAGUCUAUUAAUUCAAUCCCGGGGCGUUCUAUAUAGUUAUGUAUAAUAAUAUUUAUAUUAUUUAUGCCUCUAACUAGAGCGUACCUUGAGCAUAUAUGCUGUGACCCGAAAGA